Molecule: ribosomal RNA, 609 nt
Filed under: Pseudomonas brenneri
Lineage: Bacteria; Pseudomonadati; Pseudomonadota; Gammaproteobacteria; Pseudomonadales; Pseudomonadaceae
Description: bacterial SSU rRNA
Rfam family: Bacterial small subunit ribosomal RNA
Source: RNAcentral
UGCAGUCGAGCGGUAGAGUGAAGCUUGUGUCUCUUGAGAGCUGCGGACGGGUGAGUAAUGCCUAGGAGUCUGCCUGGUAGUGGGGACUAACGUCAGGAAACGGACGCUAAUACCGCAUAGGUCCUACUUUUGAAAGGAGGGGAUCUUCGUUGCUUGGGCUAUCCGAUGGGCCUUUGUGGAAUUAGCCACGUGGUGGGGUAAUGGUUCACCAAGGCCACCAUCCGUAGCUGGUCAUGGAGGAUGAUCAGUCACACUGGAACUGAGACACGGUCAAGACUCCUACGGCAGGAAUCAGUGGGGAAUAUUGGACAAUGGGUCAAAGCCUAAGCACGACAUGCUGAGUGAGUGAAGAAGGUCUUCUGAUUGAAAAGCUCUUUACGUUGGGAGGAAGGGCAGUAAAUUAAUACUUUGCUGUUUUGACGUUACCCACAGAAUAAGCACCGGCUAACUCUGUGCCAGCAGCCGCGGUAAUACAGAGGGGGCAAGCGUUAAUCGGGAAUUACUGAGCCUAAAACUACCCGUAGGUAGGUUCGCUCAAGUUGUGAUGUCAUAUCGUCUGGUCUCAAACGCGGGAGCUGCAUUCAAAGCUGGACGAUUUAGAGUAUGGUA